Molecule: unclassified non-coding RNA, 347 nt
Filed under: soil metagenome
Description: partial contains 5.8S ribosomal RNA, internal transcribed spacer 2, and large subunit ribosomal RNA
Rfam family: 5.8S ribosomal RNA (bases 1-120)
Source: RNAcentral
GAUGAAGAACGCAGCGAAAUGCGAUAAUUAAUGUGAAUUGCAGAAUUCAGUGAAUCAUCGAGUCUUUGAACGCACAUUGCGCCCCCUGGUAUUCCGGGGGGCAUGCCUGUCCGAGCGUCAUUGCUGCCCUCAAGCACGGCUUGUGUGUUGGGCCCCGUCCUCCGAUCCCGGGGGACGGGCCCGAAAGGCAGCGGCGGCACCGCGUCCGGUCCUCGAGCGUAUGGGGCUUUGUCACCCGCUCUGUAGGCCCGGCCGGCGCUUGCCGAUCAACCCAAAUUUUUUAUCCAGGUUGACCUCGGAUCAGGUAGGGAUACCCGCUGAACUUAAGCAUAUCAAUAAGCGGAGGA